AACGAACGCUGGCGGCGUGGAUAAGACAUGCAAGUCGAACGCUUGUUAUGGGGUAGCAAUAUUCUAUAGCAGGAGUGGCGGAAGGGUGCGUAACAUGUGGGUAAUCUGCCGUGAAGACAGGGAUAACUUGCUGAAAGGCGAGCUAAUACCGGAUGAGAUAACCAGGAGGCAGCUUUUGGUUAUCAAAGUUGGGGACUGUAAAAGGCCUAACGCUUCAUGAUGAGCCCGCAACCUAUCAGCUAGUUGGUGAGGUAAAGGCUCACCAAGGCUAAGACGGGUAGCUGGUCUGAGAGGACGACCAGCCACACUGGAACUGAGAGACGGUCCAGACACCUACGGGUGCAGCAGUCGAGAAUUUUUCACAAUGGGCGCAAGCCUGAUGGAGCGACGCCGCGUGGGGGUGAAGGGCUUCGGUCCGUAAACCCCUGUCAUUUGCGAACAAAGCUGCUGGCCUAAUACGCUAGUAGUUGAUAGUAGC
RNAcentral lists this ribosomal RNA (478 nucleotides) under uncultured bacterium. Its description in RNAcentral is "bacterial SSU rRNA". It matches the Rfam family "Bacterial small subunit ribosomal RNA", at positions 29 to 479 of the family's 1533-position model. The record is from RNAcentral.